GGGACUUCCUGGUUCUGUCGGCCCGGUCGGUCCUGGCGGACCCAACGGAGACAAGGUGAGCUCAGAGGUUUGAUUUAAAACCUUCUGAACAUGGAGGUCAAGAUUUCGCCAUCAGUAAGUAACGAAGUCUCCCGUGGUCUUCAGGGUGAACCCGGACCGCCGGGGCCGUCGGGGCGCAGAGGCACCAGAGGCAUCGCGGGUUCUACGGGAGAGCCGGGUCCCACCGGCGCUGCUGGCUUCGCCGGGCCUCAAGGUCCGGACGGGCAGCCCGGGGCCAAAGGUGAAGCCGGCGAACCCGGAUUGAAGGGUGAAGGGGGACCACCCGGUCCACAGGGGACGGCCGGGAAGUCUGGAGGACAGGUACGAGAUCUGAGAGUUGGUGGAUCCACCGGUACCUGUGAUCGGAGAAGGGAGGCGGGGUCACUUCCUGUUUUAGA
Molecule: long non-coding RNA, 437 nt
Filed under: Salarias fasciatus (jewelled blenny)
Lineage: Eukaryota; Metazoa; Chordata; Actinopteri; Blenniiformes; Blenniidae
Description: lncRNA (ENSSFAG00005016634.1)
Source: RNAcentral